GGGGUUGUAGCUCAGUGGUAGAGCACUUGCCUAACACUGUAAGGCACUGGGUUCAAUCCCCAGCAUCA
RNAcentral lists this transfer RNA (68 nucleotides) under Urocitellus parryii (Arctic ground squirrel). Its description in RNAcentral is "Spermophilus parryii (Arctic ground squirrel) tRNA". It matches the Rfam family "tRNA". Rfam says of the family: Transfer RNA (tRNA) molecules are approximately 80 nucleotides in length. Their secondary structure includes four short double-helical elements and three loops (D, anti-codon, and T loops). The record is from Rfam by way of RNAcentral. RNAcentral also lists the same sequence under 1 other name. Lineage: Eukaryota; Metazoa; Chordata; Mammalia; Rodentia; Sciuridae.